Molecule: ribosomal RNA, 530 nt
Filed under: uncultured cryptomonad CIBAC-9
Lineage: Eukaryota; Cryptophyceae
Description: bacterial SSU rRNA
Rfam family: Bacterial small subunit ribosomal RNA
Source: RNAcentral
CGCAUGGGCCGAAAGCCUGACGGAGCAAUACCSGCGUGAGGGAUGAAGGCCUGUGGGUUGUAAACCUCUUUUCUCAAGGAAGAAAUUUUGACGGUACUUGAGGAAUAAGCAUCGGCUAACUCUGUGCCAGCAGCCGCGGUAAUACAGAGGAUGCAAGCGUUAUCCGGAAUCACUGGGCAUAAAGCGUCUGUAGGUGGCUUAGCAAGUCUGCUGUUAAAGACUAGGGCUUAACCCUAGGAAAGCAGUGGAAACUAGUAAGCUUGAGUGUGGUAGAGGUAGAGGGAAUUCCUGGUGUAGCGGUGAAAUGCGUAGAUAUUAGGAAGAACACCAAUGGCGAAAGCACUCUACUGGGCCAUAACUGACACUAAGAGACGACAGCUAGGGGAGCAAAUGGGAUUAGAUACCCCAGUARGUCAUAGCCGUAAACGAUGGAUACUAGGUGUUGCACGUAUUAACCCGUGCAGUAUCGUAGCUAAGGCGUUAAGUAUCCCGCCUGGGAAGUACGCUCGCAAGAGUGAAACUCAAAGGAA